CCUUCUCAGUACCACCCACUCUCUCCCGACCAGGUAAUUAUUAACAAACAGGCUACGGGUGCAGCAUUGCCUCAACAAGGAAAACUCACCAGAAGUUGGUUCACCCCCUCCCAAGAAGACACCCCACUUCCCACCUGGGGAACCCCAAGAGGGUUCACUUCUUCAUGUUUGUGCAGUGCAUGGAGGUUCGCCUGGCCCUUGCUGCUCCCCGAGGGCCCGGGGAACCACUUGGAAAAUCUGGUCUCCAACCAGCCCCUCACUAGCUGUGUGAAGUUGAGCUCAUUUACUCCCUCUCUGAGCUUCAGUCGCCCACCUCCCUCCUACAACAUGAGGGGCUGGAUCAGACAGGGGGCAGCAAGCUCCAGCGCCGCCUUCCUAGAUCAGUAAUCAGUGAACCCCUGCACCCUUGCACCCUUGCACCCUCCUGGGGCAGCCAUUUCUCAAGCUAUGUGGGGAAGGACUGCAGGGAGCAAUGUGGCCCUGGGUGCCCUGACUGAGAUGACCUUGACCAUUCAGGCAUCCUCUAGCAGACUUUCUGGAUGUGUUUCCAAGUCGUUGGGCCUUAAGGUAAGUGAAAUAUACACCACUGAGCAGCACAGUGGGCUGGGAGCCCUGAGCGAUGUAGACAUGGGGAUGGCAGAGCAGGCACAAGCACAGCCCUGGAGCCAGCUGGCCUGAGGUCCAAAAUGGGUCAACACCAGGACAAGAGAGGAAGCUAGCAGGUCAGGCAAAGUGAGAGCUACUGUCUCAGUGGAUUCUCGCUUUCCCUCACUCAUCUCUCUCUUUCCCUUGCCUAUACACUCUAGGUAUACUAAGCUUGGCCCAUUUUACACAUGAGAAAAUGUAAGCCCGGAGACAUUGUUAGCUCAGAUUCCAGAGUCAGGGUCUGCUCCGUGGCCACUGAACAUGAAGCCCAUAUUCCUUCCCAGCAUCUGCUGCUUCUCCACUUGGACAGACUUUUCCUGCCACCGGAAUAGCAGCUGCUGCUUUGCUUACUGCUGUACCACGCGCUAGAGCAGAAUGUGGUGCAGGGGACAUGCUCCAUGGAUGUUGACUGAGUAAGUCAAUGAGUGAAAGAUGGCCAUGGAUUUUUGCUCUGAUGAAUGUGAAAAUACAUUAUUCCCCUUACAAUGGUCUACAGUCUGGGGUUUUGCUUUUUUAGUCUUGCUUCUUCAGUGAGUUUGGGGCUGAUGCCACAGAUUCCAGGGGUUAGCGUAUGCUUGGCUGCAGCCCAGGGGAUGGACAGCUUGUCCCUGCCAUGAGCACACAGUCACUGCCCUUUAGUUUCUGGCGCCUGCCCCUGGUAUGUUCUGGACAGAGGCUGGGCUUUGGCGUCAGACAAGCUCCCUCACUGCUGAGAUUUGUGACUUUGGGCAAGUCACUCCACCUCUCUGAACCUCAGUUUUUCACGUGUCAAAUGAGAAGCAAUAAUCACUAAUCAGAAAACUGAUAUUAAGGGCAGGGGGGCAGCACUCUUAAAUGUUCUGAGCCCUGUAUCAGUCUUAAUGGGUGCUUCCUUCUUCCCUUCCCAUCCCAGCAGUGGUGGACAGCCAGACUGUCUGGGUUGAAUCUAGACUCCACCACUACUUAAGUUACUUAACUCUGCCUCAGUGUCUUCAUCUGUAAACUGUGGGUAAUAAUUGCCCCUAAAUCUCAGGGUUGUCAACAAGAUCAGUAAACUGACAUCUGUAAAGUCCUAGAAUAGCAUCUGGCCAUAGUGAGUGCAGUGGAAGCGUGAGUUAGUCUGUCGUAUUAUUUCAGAUGGGUUGUACAUUACUCAUUUAUCCCCAAAGGUGUACACAUGGCUGAAACCAUGUUGUUAAACUUGUUUUGAGUUGUGGUCCUGAUUAUCUCAAGAAAGCUUUGAACUCUCCCUGAAAUAUGCACAGAUGUAUGUUUUACAAUUUAGGGAGAUUCUUGAAUCCCAUGAAGUCCAUGCAGUCCCCGUGGGCUACAGCAGUUAUUUUUUCCUGCAAAGAGCAGGCCCAUAUAAAGGAAAGGUGGAAAGAACUCUCAGGCAUGUAGUGGGAGCUACUGACUUGGACCCUGCAGGAGAAGGAGGGAAUGACGGCAAUUGGUGUGGCUGCAGGCUGGGCUCAGUUGCUAACUCCAGCCUCAGUCCUGCCUGCUUCUUGUCUUAAGGUCUCUGGGAGGGCUUCAGGAUUGUUGAACCCUUGCCUGUUACAAUUUGAAGGCCAAGUGUUUCUUGUUAAUCAUCUGUAAGGUCCCAGAGGACAAUGAAUUGUGCCACAGUCAUAUCUGGGCACAUUAGAACAGGCCUGGCCUAUAGAAGAUGCUUAACAGAAGUCAGUCAUUGAAUGAAUGAAUGAAUGAAUGAAUGAAUGAAUGAAGAGAUGCCAAAGGCCCUGCUCAGAGGUGCUGCUCAGAUGUUCCAGUGGCAAGCUCCUAAAAUCUGCAACACUCUCGGCAAGUACUGAUUUAAGGAAGCAGGGAUAAGUUGCCUGACCAGGAAGGCCAGGGUGGAUGUGGGGAAGCAGAGGGCUUGACUGCCUCUCUGCCCCUAGGAAAUACCACUGGGCCAGAUGGGGCAGCUGCUGUGACACCACUGAUGUCCCCGGCAGGGAGCCGCUUUUUCCAGCAUCCCAGAAACUGCCUGAACUGUGCUGUAGGCAUGAAUCCCACUCCCUGACACCCUCCUCUGCUCCACUGCAUCCUAAAUUGCAACCCAGCCCUUUCUCAAUGGCUGUCUUGGUCUCCCAUUCCAGCACAGGCUCCACUUAUGCUGCCCUCCUGCUAACUGCUCCCAAUCCCCUUCCCAUUCCCUGGAUUCCAAAUGGAGCCAGGAAAUUAAUCUGCCCUUAAAAAGGCUGUCCUUGUUUUGAAUUUGAUUGGCAAUGCAAUAAUGGUCAUCAUGAAAAAUAUGGGAAAGUAAAAAAAACCUGGAGAAGAAAAUAAAAUCAUUUGCAAACCUGG
This is a long non-coding RNA of Homo sapiens (human), 2934 nucleotides long. RefSeq lists it as uncharacterized. The transcript is spliced from 2 exons. The record is from RefSeq and is a predicted model, not a curated record. Lineage: Eukaryota; Metazoa; Chordata; Mammalia; Primates; Hominidae.